UACGUAGGGGGCGAGCGUUGUCCGGAUUUAUUGGGCGUAAAGAGCGUGUAGGCGGCCAGGUAGGUCUGCUGUGAAAACUCGAGGCUCAACCUCGAGACGUCGGCGGAAACCAUCUGGCUAGAGACCGGAAGAGGAGAGUGGAAUUCCUGGUGUAGCGGUGAAAUGCGCAGAUAUCAGGAAGAACACCCGUGGCGAAGGCGGCUCUCUGGGACGGUACUGACGCUGAGACGCGAAAGCGUGGGGAGCGAACAGG
This 253-nucleotide ribosomal RNA is filed under the name uncultured bacterium. Its description in RNAcentral is "partial 16S ribosomal RNA". It matches the Rfam family "Bacterial small subunit ribosomal RNA", at positions 524 to 776 of the family's 1533-position model. The record is from RNAcentral.